AGCCAGACUCCUACGGGAGGCAGCAGUGGGGAAUAUUGCACAAUGGGGGAAACCCUGAUGCAGCGACGCCGCGUGAGUGAAGAAGUAUUUCGGUACGUAAAGCUCUAUCAGCAGGGAAGAAAAAAAGUCCUUUGGACUUUGGACGGUACCUGACCAAGAAGCCCCGGCUAACUACGUGCCAGCAGCCGCGGUAAUACGUAGGGGGCAAGCGUUAUCCGGAUUUACUGGGUGUAAAGGGAGCGUAGACGGCAGCGCAAGUCUGGAGUGAAAGCCCGUGGCUUAACCACGGGACUGCUCUGGAAACUGUGCAGCUAGAGUGCAGGAGAGGCAGGCGGAAUUCCUAGUGUAGCGGUGAAAUGCGUAGAUAUUAGGAGGAACACCGGUGGCGAAGGCGGCCUGCUGGACUGUGACUGACGUUGAGGCCCGAAAGCGUGGGGAGCAAACAGGAUUAGAUACCCGAGUAAU
RNAcentral lists this ribosomal RNA (465 nucleotides) under uncultured bacterium. Its description in RNAcentral is "partial 16S ribosomal RNA". It matches the Rfam family "Bacterial small subunit ribosomal RNA", at positions 329 to 794 of the family's 1533-position model. The record is from RNAcentral.